CUAGUGAUCAGAAGUGAGAAUGUUGACAUGAGUAGCGACAAACAGGGUGAGAGACCCUGUCGCCGAAAGUCCAAGGGUUCCUGCUUAAAGCUAAUCUGAGCAGGGUAAGCCGGCCCCUAAGGCGAGGCCGAAAGGCGUAGUCGAUGGGAACCAGGUUAAUAUUCCUGGGCCAGGAGAUGGUGACGGAUCCCAGAGGUAGUUCAUCCUUAACGGAUUGAAUGGGCUGCUGAGGGGUUCCUGGAAAUAGCCCUCCAUGAGACCGUACCCUAAACCGACACAGGUGGACUGGUAGAGAAUACCAAGGCGCUUGAGAGAACCACAUUUAAGGAACUCGGCAAAAUACCUCCGUAAGUUCGCGAGAAGGAGGCCCCGUUUGUACGCAAGUAUGGGCGGGGGGCACAAACCAGGGGGUGGCGACUGUUUACUAAAAACACAGGGCUCUGCGAAGUCGCAAGACGACGUAUAGGGUCUGACGCCUGCCCGGUGCCGGAAGGUUAAAAGGAGAUGUGCAAGCAUUGAAUUGAAGCCCCGGUAAACGGCGGCCGUAACUAUAACGGUCCUAAGGUAGCGAAAUACCUUGUCGGGUAAGUUCCGACCUGCACGAAUGGCGUAACGACUUCCCCGCUGUCUCAAAUGUGGACUCAGCGAAAUUGAAUUGUCUGUGAAGAUGCAGACUUCCCGCGGUUAGACGGAAAGACCCCAUGCACCUUUACUACAGCUUCGCACUGGCAUCAGGAUUGCGAUGUGCAGGAUAGGCGGUAGGCUUUGAAGCGGGGACGCUAGUCCCCGUGGAGCCAUCCUUGAGAUACCGCCCUUCGCACUCUUGAUGUCUAACCGCGGUCCGUCAUCCGGAUCCGGGACCCUGCGUGGCGGGUAGUUUGACUGGGGCGGUCGCCUCCCAAACAGUAACGGAGGCGCGCGAAGGUUGGCUCAGAGCGGUCGGAAAUCGCUCGUUGAGUGCAAUGGCAGAAGCCAGCCUGACUGCAAGACUGACAAGUCGAGCAGAGUCGAAAGACGGCCAUAGUGAUCCGGUGGUCCCGAGUGGAAGGGCCAUCGCUCAACGGAUAAAAGGUACGCUGGGGAUAACAGGCUGAUGAUGCCCAAGAGUCCAUAUCGACGGCAUCGUUUGGCACCUCGAUGUCGGCUCAUCUCAUCCUGGGGCUGGAGCAGGUCCCAAGGGUACGGCUGUUCGCCGUUUAAAGAGGUACGUGAGCUGGGUUUAGAACGUCGUGAGACAGUUCGGUCCCUAUCAGCCGUGGGUGUAGGAUACUUGAGAGGAGUUGCCCCUAGUACGAGAGGACCGGGGUGAACGUUCCACUGGUGGACCAGUUGUCGUGCCAACGGCAGUGCUGGGUAGCUAUGAACGGACAGGAUAACCGCUGAAGGCAUCUAAGCGGGAAGCCCCCCUCAAAACAAGGUAUCCCUUGAGAGCCGUGGAAGACCACCACGUCGAUAGGCCGGAGAUGUAAGCGCAGCAAUGCGUUCAGUUGACCGGUACUAAUGGCUG
Molecule: ribosomal RNA, 1507 nt
Filed under: metagenome
Description: bacterial LSU rRNA
Rfam family: Bacterial large subunit ribosomal RNA
Source: RNAcentral